UUUCCGUAGGUGAACCUGCGGAAGGAUCAUUCAUAAUAAGUGUUUUAUGGCACUUUUUUAAAUCCAUAUCCACCUUGUGUGCAAUGUCAGGGUUGAUUCUUCUCUCGAGAGGAUCGGCCCCAAACAUCAACUAUAUCUCAACUCUUUGUCUGAAAAAUAUUAUGAAUAAAACAAUUCAAAAUACAACUUUCAACAACGGAUCUCUUGGCUCUC
RNAcentral lists this unclassified non-coding RNA (213 nucleotides) under plant metagenome. Its description in RNAcentral is "partial contains small subunit ribosomal RNA, internal transcribed spacer 1, and 5.8S ribosomal RNA". The record is from RNAcentral.